RNAcentral lists this long non-coding RNA (704 nucleotides) under Hordeum vulgare. Its description in RNAcentral is "long non-coding RNA (HVUL_LNC004142)". The record is from RNAcentral. Lineage: Eukaryota; Viridiplantae; Streptophyta; Magnoliopsida; Poales; Poaceae.
UACUAAGAAAAGUCACAUAAUAAGACCAUACACUAGAAUACCUUGUGAGUUUGUGACUGGAGAACACUGGCACCAACCAAAGUUCUUCCAACAACAUAGCGGCAAUGCUUUCCAACAAAGCAUAAUUGGUUGAUGAGCUUGAUACAUUGCUUGCAGUUCGGAUGGCAUCACAGAAACCCAUAUAAUUAUCAGACGCAAUCGAAAGCCUAAGCAGAUUCUGCGUGGGAUCAUAUUGUUCACAUAAUGAACUCCGAAAUUCUCUAGGAAGUAGGCAGACAUGGAUGAACAGCAUAUCAAUUACGAUUAGUGAAUGCACAUACGGCAAGAAAGAAGAAACGCACAUGAAAAUUUAACAUUACCAUAGCAAAAUGCCAUUGUGUGAUAUCAGUUGAUAGAGAAACAAAACUGAAAUAAAAUUUGGAUAGGAGUGAACAAGAAUAAACAUUUGAGAAUUGUGAGAUAAACCCAACAGCGUUGACAAAAAAUGCCCUUCCUCCUGAAUUACAGAAAACUCCCGAUUUACCAAUACAUGAAAAGUUCUUAUUACUGUUGAAACUUGCAGUAAUAUCAGACACAUCCUUCCAAUUCACAGAGACCAAAAUUGCAAGCAGUUGCACACACACACACACACAAAAUACAAAAAACUCAAACUGUUACCUUACUUUCUCAUCUUCCCUCCCGAUCUACAACACCACUAGANNNNN